UGGUGGUGGUGGUGAUGAUGAUGGUGGUGGUGGUGGUGGUGAUGAUGAUGGUGGUGGUGGCGAUGAUGAUCGUGGUGGUGAUGAUGGUGGUGGUGGUGGUGAUGACGAUGAUGAUAGUGGUGGUGAUGAUGAUAGAGGUGGACCUGGUGGUGAUGAUGAUGGUGAUGGUGAUGCUUCAAUCGAAUGGACUUGUGUUAGAAACGUCAUUAUCGCCACAAGUAGGCUCCUAAUAUAAAUGCCAACAAAAAUCACGGGCUAUCUCAUGCUAGUAGCCCGGCAUCGAUUUUUUUCUAAGUGUCGAGUGAAAUUAGUUUUUCUAACAUUUAACCGGCUACGGGCUAAUAAUAUAAAUGCCGACAAAAACGACGGGCUACCUGUCAAAAAUCAGGGCUACCUCAUGCUAAUAGCCCGGUAUCGAUUUUUUCUAAGUGUCGAGUGAAAUUAGUUUUUCUAACAAAUAACCGGCUACGGGCUAAUAAUAUAAAUGCCAACAAAAUGCUGCCUGUCAAAAUCACGGGCUACCUCAUGCUAGUAGCCCGACAUCGAUUUUAUUCUAAGUGCAGUGUCGAAAUUUAUAUAGCACACGAUACUUAGAAAAAAAUCGAUGCUGGGCUACUAUAGUAUGAAGUAGCCCGUAAUUUUGACAGGUAGCCCGUUGGUAGCCCGUUGUUUUUGUUGGCAUUUAUUGCUGCCGCAGCGAGCGAGCCUGAAGCGAGCGAGCAAGGCAGCAGACCUAAUCUUUAUGUAUAUGUAUUACCGUAUUUACUCGAUUGAGCGCCGCCCCCGAAUGAGCGCCGCCCCCAAAUGAGCGCCGCAUUUGAGAUCAAAUUUUUUUAAAGAGCGCCGCCCCCGAACGAGCGCCGCACUAAGCAAUGUAACAAUUUUCCACCGUCAAAAUGGGGACAUUUAGUGACAAAGACAUUCAAAACUUGUUUAUUUUAUUGUUAAAAGUUCUUGAUAUAAUUCACAAAUAAAGAUUUUUUAAAG
This is a non-coding RNA of Paramuricea clavata, 987 nucleotides long. NCBI's taxonomy places the organism in Eukaryota, Metazoa, Cnidaria, Anthozoa, Malacalcyonacea, Plexauridae. The record is from the annotation of a GenBank genome assembly.